RNAcentral lists this ribosomal RNA (497 nucleotides) under uncultured bacterium. RNAcentral's name for it is "partial 16S ribosomal RNA". It matches the Rfam family "Bacterial small subunit ribosomal RNA", at positions 28 to 507 of the family's 1533-position model. The record is from RNAcentral.
GACGAACGCUGGCGGCGUGCCUAAUACAUGCAAGUUGAGCGCUGAAGGUUGGUACUUGUACCAACUGGAUGAGCAGCGAACGGGUGAGUAACGCGUGGGGAAUCUGCCUUUGAGCGGGGGACAACAUUUGGAAACGAAUGCUAAUACCGCAUAAAAACUUUAAACACAAGUUUUAAGUUUGAAAGAUGCAAUUGCAUCACUCAAAGAUGAUCCCGCGUUGUAUUAGCUAGUUGGUGAGGUAAAGGCUCACCAAGGCGAUGAUACAUAGCCGACCUGAGAGGGUGAUCGGCCACAUUGGGACUGAGACACGGCCCAAACUCCUACGGGAGGCAGCAGUAGGGAAUCUUCGGCAAUGGACGAAAGUCUGACCGAGCAACGCCGCGGGAGUGAAGAAGGUUGUCGGAUCGUAAAACUCGGUUGGUAGAGAAGAACGUUGGUGAGAGUGGAAAGCUCAUAAAGUGACGGUAACUACACAGAAAGGGACGGCUAACUACGUG